Molecule: ribosomal RNA, 253 nt
Filed under: uncultured bacterium
Lineage: Bacteria
Description: partial 16S ribosomal RNA
Rfam family: Bacterial small subunit ribosomal RNA
Source: RNAcentral
UACGGAGGGGGCUAGCGUUGUUCGGAAUUACCGGGCGUAAAGGGCGCGUAGGCGGCUUACCAAGUCAGGCGUGAAAUUCCCGGGCUCAACCUGGGGGCUGCGCUUGAUACUGGUGAGCUUGAAUGCGGGAGAGGAUAGUGGAAUUCCCAGUGUAGAGGUGAAAUUCGUAGAUAUUGGGAAGAACACCGGUGGCGAAGGCGGCUAUCUGGCCCGUAAUUGACGCUGAGGCGCGAAAGCGUGGGGAGCAAACAGG